ACUCAUCCGAGGCCCCGUAAUCGGAAUGAGUACACUUUAAAUCCUUUAACAAGGAUCCAUUGGAGGGCAAGUCUGGUGCCAGCAGCCGCGGUAAUUCCAGCUCCAAUAGCGUAUAUUAAAGUUGUUGCGGUUAAAAAGCUCGUAGUUGAAUCUGUGUGCCACACUGUUGGUUCACCGCUCGCGGUGUUAACUGGCAUGUAUGUGGGACGUCCUACCGGUGGACUUAGCAGAGAGCAAUCUCUGCGGUCCAAAUAGCAAUCCCAUCGCGGUGCUCUUUAUCGAGUGUCGAGGUGGGCCGGUACAUUUACUUUGAACAAAUUUGAGUGCUUAAAGCAGGCUAUUUUUGCCUGAAAACUGGUGCAUGGAAUAAUAAAAUAGGAUUUCGGUUCUAUUUUGUUGGUUUUAAGAACCACGAAAUAAUGAUUGAUAGGGACAGAUGGGGGCAUUCGUAUUGCGACGUUAGAGGUGAAAUUCUUGGAUCGUCGCAAGACGGACUAAAGCGAAAGCAUUUGCCAAAAAUGUUUUCAUUAAUCAAGAACGAAAGUUAGAGGUUCGAAGGCGAUCAGAUACCGCCCUAGUUCUAACCAUAAACGAUGCCAGCUAGCGAUCCGCCGAAGUUCCUCCGAUGACUCGGCGGGCAGCUUCCGGGAAACCAAAGCUUUUGGGUUCCGGGGGAAGUAUGGUUGCAAAGCUGAAACUUAAAGGAAU
This 708-nucleotide ribosomal RNA is filed under the name Diospilus sp. 3 BJS-2011. RNAcentral's name for it is "SSU rRNA". It matches the Rfam family "Eukaryotic small subunit ribosomal RNA", at positions 490 to 1153 of the family's 1831-position model. Lineage: Eukaryota; Metazoa; Arthropoda; Insecta; Hymenoptera; Braconidae. The record is from RNAcentral.